RNAcentral lists this ribosomal RNA (258 nucleotides) under uncultured bacterium. RNAcentral describes it as "partial 16S ribosomal RNA". It matches the Rfam family "Bacterial small subunit ribosomal RNA", at positions 524 to 777 of the family's 1533-position model. The record is from RNAcentral.
UACGGAGGGUGCGAGCGUUGUCCGGAAUCACUGGGCGUAAAGGGCGCGUAGGCGGCGCGGGUAGUCAUCGGUGAAAGUUCAGGGCUCAACUCUGAAUCGGCCGGUGAUACUCCCGUGCUCGAGCAGCUGUAGAGGCAGGUGGAAUUCCGGGUGUAGCGGAUGGAAUGCGUAGAGAUCCGGAAGAACACCGGUGGCGAAGGCGGCCUGCUGGGCUAUGGCUGACACUGAGGCACGGAGAGCAUGGGGGAGCAAACAGGG